This is a long non-coding RNA of Macaca fascicularis (crab-eating macaque), 2229 nucleotides long. NCBI's taxonomy places the organism in Eukaryota, Metazoa, Chordata, Mammalia, Primates, Cercopithecidae. The record is from Ensembl.
ACAUUUUAAACACUUUAAUUACUUAAACAACAAGAAAAGAAACAUUUACAAAGCAUAUACCAAGGCUGUCUCAGGUUUUAGGAUGUGGAGAAGCCAGUGGUAGGCUGGAUACUCUCUGGCUACUUAAAACCUUACCCAUUUAAGAACAUUUGUGGGAUCCCACUGACCAUGGCCAUGGUACUCCUUUGCUUAAAAGGAGUGCAAGAUCAUUCAGGGAACACAGAGGAGCAUGCUCCACUUACUCCAGUGUGGACACGGGCAAUACUCUGGUUUUGAAAAACACAUCUCUUUGCUCAGCAUAACUCCCUGCAGUGAAACCAUGAGCCCCCUGCCUCAAAAGCUCUGAUUAUCCAAUCUAUUAUCCACCGCUUCGUAGGUCCCCAGCCUCACUUGAGGUCUGUUUCCCUAAGUCUCUGGGACUCAGGCCAGUGGGGAGGAAGAAUUUCCCACUCUCUCAGCACCUGGCAUGAAGGUGCUGCAGCCACCGCAUCAUGAGAGUGCACACCCAGGUGAGAACAAACAAGAGGAAUGACUGGCUGCUCUGCACGGGGCAUUCUGAACACCUCCUUCCUGAAGCACUGAAUUCUGUGUUCCGGGUUCAGAACUAAUUUGGUGCAACUGUUUUGGUAUCCAUGCCAAGCCUUGUGGAGUCAAACUCAUACAUGAGUGCCAAAGAGCAACCCCAGAGGACUGCACCCAGAAGGGCUCCCAUUGCCUGCUCUCCCAGCCAAAGCCUGAGGGGGGCCAAGGCAGCCCUGCCCUGCGUGCAUGGUUAGAACAUGCCGAACUCCACAGUGCCACUGGCUGCCAGCCUCUGGGAGGCAGAGAAAGUGCUAAGAGAAGAAAAUGCUAAGAAAGGGUUCUGCACAUGCUCUGAAAGUUUUGGAAAAUAAUGUGUUUUUCCUGGCAGCAUAGCUAUAUGGACCUGCAGACAGGAAUAGUUCUUAGGUACAGAGGCAUCUACUUAGUGAAACUCUGGCGUCAGAGACCUGACUCCAACUUCUCCAAUUCCAUAUACUCUCCUGGCAGCACACAGAAACUGCCAGACAACACAGUCAAGGGUGAAGCAGAACAAUGCUGGAAUACCUUCCUGUGAAGCCGGAGCCUCUCCCUUUCACCCUGAGACAGGACCCUCAAGUUCUAUAAUCAGGCUCCACUGGGAAUGUUUGAAGUCCAGGUCUCUGCAAAGCGCAGAAGUAUCUUUUAGGUAUAGUUUAGAGCUGUGCUUUUGGUGGAACACAGUAAUUUCCAUCUAUGCCUGGCAUUUAUAGGCGAUUCUAGGAGUUCUGGGCUUAGGCCUACUUCUCAGGCUCUGAGAUGUGUGAGAGCUGUGUGUGUGCACCCACGUAGGUACAUGUGCACGCGCACAUCACAGACAGGGAUAGAGACUGCCAAGAUGCAGCGCCGCAUGUUAGAGGCCGUACAGCCACGGUCUACACGCAGCGCCUCUCCAAACUUUGUUUUAAAUCAUCCUGGCUUCUCCUGGCUGUGAGAUUUCAGGAAGGGACUUAACCUCUCUGAGCCCAUUUCCUCAUCUGUGAAAUCAGAAUAAUAAACUCACCCCCUGUACUCCAGAUGGGGGGAGGACUAAUUAAAAGGUACUUGCCACACUGUUUGCAUACAGUUGGCGCUAGAAAAUAUAGUUGCAUUAUUUUUCUGAAAACCUGUUUGAGAUAGUGUGAGCUGCCCAGAACUCAGAGCAGGUGCUCAGUAUACGGCCAGACUUCAGGAAAGCUCUAAUGAUGAAAGUAUUUAGUGCCCUGGCUUGGCAGGAAAUUUCCCACAGAAGGUGGCAUUUUAAAGCUAGAGAUCCCGUUCUUAAGGAAGAGUCUUAGUAGGUUAAGAGGAAAAAAAUGUUGUCAAAGUCCACAAUACAAUGCAGUUGAAGCCCUGAAACAUGGCCAUGUGUCCAUUUGUAUUCUGACAAUGAAAACGCUUGGCAGCUCAGGUGGACCUUGAAAAGCAAGCAAGUCUGACACCUGACUAGGGCAAUGAGGUGUCUGGGGCAUGAAGACCAGGCUUCGGGAGAAACGGCUGGGUAUCUCACUCUAACUUGCGUCUAAGGGAGGCAGCCCAAGUUUGGGGUGGCCUAGACCUGAUGGUAGGGGCUGGCAGAGCUGACUUACCUUCCUAUCUCUAGACAUUUUACUUUCUGGUCCAUCCCCAACAUACACUGGGGUCAAAAUGUCCUUAAGAGAGUUAGUUGCCAUCUCCUAAGCUCAUCUCCUA